UGACCGCUGGCGGCGUGCCUCAUACAUGCACGUCGAGCGAACAGACGAGGAGCUUGCUCCUCUGACGUUAGCGGCGGACGGGUGAGUAACACGUGGAUAACCUACCUAUAAGACUGGGAUAACUUCGGGAAACCGGAGCUAAUACCGGAUAAUAUAUUGAACCGCAUGGUUCCAUAGUGAAAGACGGUUUUGCUGUCACUUAUAGAUGGAUCCGCGCCGCAUUAGCUAGUUGGUAAGGUAACGGCUUACCAAGGCAACGAUGCGUAGCCGACCUGAGAGGGUGAUCGGCCACACUGGAACUGAGACACGGUCCAGACUCCUACGGGAGGCAGCAGUAGGGAAUCUUCCGCAAUGGGCGAAAGCCUGACGGAGCAACGCCGCGUGAGUGAUGAAGGUCUUCGGAUCGUAAAACUCUGUUAUUAGGGAAGAACAAAUGUGUAAGUAACUAUGCACGUCUUGACGGUACCUAAUCAGAAAGCCACGGCUAACUACGUG
RNAcentral lists this ribosomal RNA (495 nucleotides) under uncultured bacterium. RNAcentral describes it as "partial 16S ribosomal RNA". It matches the Rfam family "Bacterial small subunit ribosomal RNA", at positions 30 to 507 of the family's 1533-position model. The record is from RNAcentral.